Molecule: ribosomal RNA, 467 nt
Filed under: uncultured bacterium
Lineage: Bacteria
Description: partial 16S ribosomal RNA
Rfam family: Bacterial small subunit ribosomal RNA
Source: RNAcentral
GAUGAACGCUGGCGGCGUGCUUAACACAUGCAAGUCGAACGGAAAGGCCCAAGCUUGCUUGGGUACUCGAGUGGCGAACGGGUGAGUAACACGUGGGUGAGCUGCCCUGCACUUCGGGAUAAGCCUGGGAAACUGGGUCUAAUACCGGCUAGGACCACAAUUUGGAUGGUGUGGUGGAAAGCUUUUCGGUGUGGGAUGAGCUCGCGGCGUAUCAGCUUGUUGGGGGGGUAAUGGCGUACCAGGGCGUCGACGGGUAGCCGGCCUGAGAGGGUGUACGGCCACAUUGGGACUGAGAGACGGGCCAGACUCCGACGGGAGGCAGCAGGGGGGAAUAUUGCACAAUGGGCGCAAGCCUGAUGCAGCGACGCCGCGUGGGGGAUGACGGCCUUCGGGUUGUAAACUCCUUUCGCUAGGGACGAAGCGUUUUUGUGACGGUACCUGGAGAAGAAGCACCGGCUAACUACGUG